AACGAACGCUGGCGGCAUGCCUAACACAUGCAAGUCGAACGAUGCUUUCGGGCAUAGUGGCGCACGGGUGCGUAACGCGUGGGAAUCUGCCCUUGGGUUCGGAAUAACAGUGAGAAAUUGCUGCUAAUACCGGAUGAUGUCUUCGGACCAAAGAUUUAUCGCCCAGGGAUGAGCCCGCGUAGGAUUAGCUAGUUGGUGGGGUAAUGGCCUACCAAGGCGACGAUCCUUAGCUGGUCUGAGAGGAUGAUCAGCCACACUGGGACUGAGACACGGCCCAG
Molecule: ribosomal RNA, 278 nt
Filed under: uncultured bacterium
Lineage: Bacteria
Description: partial 16S ribosomal RNA
Rfam family: Bacterial small subunit ribosomal RNA
Source: RNAcentral